GACGAACGCUGGCGGCGUGCUUAACACAUGCAAGUCGAACGGAAAGGCCCUGCUUUUGUGGGGUGCUCGAGUGGCGAACGGGUGAGUAACACGUGAGUAACCUGCCCUUGACUUUGGGAUAACUUCAGGAAACUGGGGCUAAUACCGGAUAGGAGCUCCUGCUGCAUGGUGGGGGUUGGAAAGUUUCGGCGGUUGGGGAUGGACUCGCGGCUUAUCAGCUUGUUGGUGGGGUAGUGGCUUACCAAGGCUUUGACGGGUAGCCGGCCUGAGAGGGUGACCGGCCACAUUGGGACUGAGAUACGGCCCAGACUCCUACGGGAGGCAGCAGUGGGGAAUAUUGCACAAUGGGCGGAAGCCUGAUGCAGCAACGCCGCGUGCGGGAUGACGGCCUUCGGGUUGUAAACCGCUUUCGCCUGUGACGAAGCGUGAGUGACGGUAAUGGGUAAAGAAGCACCGGCUAACUACGUGCCAGCAGCCGCGGUGAUACGUAGGGUGCGAGCGUUGUCCGGAUUUAUUGGGCGUAAAGGGCUCGUAGGUGGUUGAUCGCGUCGGAAGUGUAAUCUUGGGGCUUAACCCUGAGCGUGCUUUCGAUACGGGUUGACUUGAGGAAGGUAGGGGAGAAUGGAAUUCCUGGUGGAGCGGUGGAAUGCGCAUAUAUCAAGAGGAACACCAGUGGCGAAGGCGGUUCUCUGGGCCUUUCCUGACUCUGAGGAGCGAAAGCGUGGGGAGCGAACAGGCUUAAAUACCCUGGUAGUCCCCGCUGUAAACGGUGGGUACUAGGUGUGGGGUCCAUUCCACGGGUUCCGUGCCGUAGCUAACGCUUUAAGUACCCCGCCUGGGGAGUACGGCCGCAAGGCUAAAACUCAAAGGAAUUGACGGGGCCCCGCACAAGCGGCGGAGCAUGCGGAUUAAUUCGAUGCAACGCGUAGAACCUUACCUGGGUUUGACAUGGAUCGGGAGUGCUCAGAGAUGGGUGUGCCUCUUUUGGGGUCGGUUCACAGGUGGUGCAUGGCUGUCGUCAGCUCGUGUCGUGAGAUGUUGGGUUAAGUCCCGCAACGAGCGCAACCCUUGUUCACUGUUGCCAGCACGUUAUGGUGGGGACUCAGUGGAGACCGCCGGGGUCAACUCGGAGGAAGGUGGGGAUGACGUCAAGUCAUCAUGCCCCUUAUGUCCAGGGCUUCACGCAUGCUACAAUGGCUGGUACAGAGAGUGGCGAGCCUGUGAGGGUGAGCGAAUCUCGGAAAGCCGGUCUCAGUUCGGAUUGGGGUCUGCAACUCGACCUCAUGAAGUCGGAGUCGCUAGUAAUCGCAGAUCAGCAACGCUGCGGUGAAUACGUUCCCGGG
Molecule: ribosomal RNA, 1343 nt
Filed under: uncultured bacterium
Lineage: Bacteria
Description: 16S ribosomal RNA
Rfam family: Bacterial small subunit ribosomal RNA
Source: RNAcentral